UGUGUAUACAUGUACUUAUAUUUUUCAACAAUUUUUUGCACACAUCUGUAGCAUGUAGAUUAUGUUAUUUUCAUAGGAAUCGAAGUUACAAAUGUUAGAGCAGCAAAUUUAUGAUUUUAAUCAUACUUUUUGGAAGAAACACAAUAUUGAAUUCCAACAGGCAAAAUCUGACUACAUUAAUAAAUUGCUAUCAACAACAAAUCUUACCAGAAAUGAAUUAACAUCAAAUCAUUUAAUGGAAUUUCAUAGAUCAUUUCUUAAUGGCAAGUAUCAGACUCACAAGCAAUAUUUAAAGCAAUGGACUAUUAUGAACU
This is a long non-coding RNA of Amphimedon queenslandica, 314 nucleotides long. RefSeq lists it as uncharacterized. The record is from RefSeq and is a predicted model, not a curated record. The transcript is spliced from 3 exons. Lineage: Eukaryota; Metazoa; Porifera; Demospongiae; Haplosclerida; Niphatidae.